GUCCUUAGUACGAGAGGACCGGGACGAAGCGACCGCUCGUGUACGGGCUGUUCCGCCAGGGGCAGCGCCCGGUAGCGAUGUCGCGCGCAGAUAACCGCUGAAAGCAUCUAAGUGGGAAACUGUUCCCAAGAUGAACACUCCUGGGUCUCAAGACCCCUGAAGGGCCGUGGGAGACUACCACGUUGAUAGGCGGCAGAUGCAAGGUGUGCAAGCACUUCAGUCGAGCCGUACUAAUCGCCCGUGCAGUUUGAUCUC
RNAcentral lists this ribosomal RNA (255 nucleotides) under Gemmatimonadota bacterium. Its description in RNAcentral is "Gemmatimonadetes bacterium (activated sludge metagenome) partial 23S ribosomal RNA". It matches the Rfam family "Bacterial large subunit ribosomal RNA", at positions 2674 to 2925 of the family's 2925-position model. The record is from RNAcentral. Lineage: Bacteria; Pseudomonadati; Gemmatimonadota.